CUCGCUACAUGGAUAGUCAAUGGUAAUGCUAAUGUUGCUACUCGCUAGCGUUAGCUAACGUUAUGCUAAAGAUAGUCCUGUUCGAGGCAUUAUUUUCGUCGAGCAGAGGUUUUUAAAGGACUAGCAAAAACGAGCAAUGCUAAGGUUAGCUAAUGUUUCUACUCGCGUUAUGCUAGUGAGGGCAACUUUUAUCUUAAGUGUAACUGUCAUUCUUGAUCGGUAAUUUUAAAUGUAUAAGUACAGACUUAAAUUAGACCACAUGGUCAACUUCUUAAUUAGCUAGGAUAACCUAGCUGUUAAGCUAGUAGUUAAGGCAAAAGUUUACUGCAGUUUUUUUGCUGACCGUGCACAAAUUUGCUCUGUGCUUAUUAUUUAGAACGCAGCACUUGAUCAAGUCAGGAACGUGAAUGUUCAUGUUUUCUAAAUCAAGCUGAGAAAAAGGUAACGUUAAACUGCUCGGUUAUACCAGCAUGGGAGUUUUUCGCACAUCAUUGACUUGUCACCUUCUCCACACGAACACGGGUAUUUUUAUAACCGUGACUUUUUGUACGCGGUUCGGCCUUCCGUCCACACGGAAAGGCAGUUUCAGGGCACAGAAACAUUUUUGAAAACUCCGGCCAGGGUAUUGGGUGUUCCUGUAAAGGAUCUACACUUUGCUUUGUGCUCUGUAUCAAAGGCUCUGUAGUAAAUGUGAAUGUGGCAGUGUAAGGGGUGUUCAGUAGCAGUUGCAAGUAGGUCCGAGCUACUUAACCAUUACAAACUCAAACAUCCACAUUUUGGACGUACUGUCCGCUAUCCAUGUACAUAUUGGAAAUGUCCAUGCUCAUUCAAGACAUGGAAUGCUUUAAUCGUUCAUCAAAGAGUGCAUUCCACACACGUUUGUCACACUCAAAAAGAGCUGUAUACUUUCAGCUGUCACUUAUGUACAUGUAAACAUUUAUCAAAUGAAAGGGAGUUCUUUGUUCAUAUCAACACCCAUCUGAGGAAAAAUGAAAACGUUUGUUGGCUGUAGUUUUCAAACUAGCAUUUAUGGAACCUUUAAGUCUCAUAAGAGCCGCCAACACACACCUCACACACUAACUAAACAACAACAUUACCACCUCCAUCAGUACAGGAUUCAAUUGCUGAUUGCCAGGAUGAUGAGUCUGUAGACGAGGAAGUUUCUGGGACAUCCCUAGAUCCAGGUCAACAGCAGGACUUCCUUCAUCCAAGCCAUGGAGGAGGCCUGUGACCAGAUGGAGGUAGCAGCAAUGCAAGGAUGGAUUCGUCAUUCAAGACGUUUCUUUCCAAGGCGCAGGGAGGCGACCCUUUUGUCACUCCAAUGUAGCAGCACUCAGCCGGGGACUUAUGAGUGCGCCUCACACCAUGGGCCACUCCAGAGUAGAAUAGUGUCCAUCCCCUAUCCAGGAGUGUGGUUCCAGAGCCGAGGCUGUGCGUAGAGGUAAGCCCCACCAGAUCCAACUGAUAACGCUCCACCUCCCGCACAAGCUCCGGCUCCUUCCCCCCCCACAGAGGUUAGGUUCCACGUCCACAGAGCCAGCCUCUGCCUCCCAGGUCUGUUCCGUCUAGACCCCCCACGGUCACUGCCACCCUUGUAGCAGCGUGGGUUUCCCCCACAGGUGGUGAGCCCAUGGGGAGUAGAGUCUUGGGUUGCUGCGUCACUCCUUCAGGCUGUCCCCGGCCGGGCUCCGCGGCAAGCCCGGCCACCAGACGCUCGCUGUCGGGCCCUCCAUCUGGGCCUGGCUCCAAAUGGGGGCCCUGGGCUUCCUCCGGGCCGGGUAACUCCUUCCCUCUUCAGUUUUUUUUAAUAGGGUCAUGAAUAAUAACGGAGUAUAUUUUUAGAUGCCACGUAGAUGCUCUUAUUGCCAGUCUCAGGCGGUUAAGAGGGUGUGGGAUGGUUGUGAGCGAAUGACGCCUGAAAAUCCUCACCUUGUUUCUAUAGGUAUGUAGCCAUCUCCUUUCCUUUAUUGCCGUCCUGUGUACAUUAUUUUGUGUGUUCAACUGGAUGAUAUUUUGUCAUUUUUAUUUUACUUUCAUUGACAGCUCCUGAAAUAGGACGUCGUCAUGCAGUGAAGCCAUGGCCAAUUUCCACCUUCACUGGAAAGCAAAAAAAGUAUAAGUUUUCCUUAUGGUUGAAAUGCACUAAAUGACACGUAAUGUUUGUUAGUUUGUACUGCUUGUAGGAGCCUCCCAUCUGCGAAGCAUUGUCGAUGGUUUUGUGGUGACUCCAGCAGAUCUUUCCAUUGGCAUCAUGUCUACUCUGGGGGCCUGUGCAAAGCACUUACGGACUGAGGUGCUGAAUGCUGUUGUGCCCGGUCAUCCAGAUGUUGUUGUCCUUUUGGGGCCAGGAAAUGACUUGACCUGGGGUAAUACAUCUUCAGAUGUUGUGUAAUUUGUUAGCUUGAGUUAGGAAUUGAGAAAAUUGAUUUACUGAACAUCUAUAUAUUUUUUUGGUGGUAGUGGUGGAUUUUCCUCAGAUACCAAGGUUUGUCCUCACAUGAGCUUUGGUGCAGAGACAAUUUGAGUUAAAUAUGCAGAUGUGUAGAAGUGUGAUUUACACAAAUAGUUAGAUUGUAGCUAUCCAGAUCCAUAUUGAUUGACACCAUACGUGUAGAGGCUAGUGAAUUGGCUGUAACAUCUAAAGAAUUGGGUGUGUUUCUGAAACAGAACGCUGUGUUUGACAUAAGCGGGGGCAGUUGAUUUGGGCAAGCCAGAGAGGUACAGCUUGCAGGGGUUGACCAAUGAGUCUGUGGUAAAGGAAAAGAUGAAAUGUUCGAUAGAGAUGGAAUGCGUUAUUGUGCCUUAAUGGAGCAGUCAGUCACACGAAAAGUACUUUGUGGUUGUAGAUUUUGCCGUACGUAAUGACUCUGGGCUGUCAUGUGAAUUUGGCCGGUCUGUGGCACACCAUGUCAGGCAGCUGUGAUGGUGACAGCAGUGGUGACAUGAAUGUUGCAAUUGAUUUUCAGGCAAGCAGUUCUGUCGACAACAGCAUGAAUGUUUCAACUGAUGUUGAAGGAAGCAGUUCUGUCAGGGACGAUAGGAGUAUAAGGAGAUCCUUUCACCAGGGUGAUGACAGGUUUGAGUUUGGAGGAGUUCAGUGCAUGGCCACAGCACUGUUUCGUAUGGCAAAACAGUCAAGAGAGUGUUUUGUCAUUUAGGUGUCAGUUGUACAAAGAUUUGCGAAAAGAAAUCUUCAGCAGCAGGUCUGGUUGGUUGUGUGUUUCUGAUUUUCCCAAGCAGAGACUUGUUGACGGACAAGAGUUUACCUUUCAUUAGGGUAGGGACUUUGUGUCAGGAGAUGUUGUUGAAGGUAUACUCAGAAUGGUAGCUACUCCGGUCUUCUGACGCUGUGUUGCAAUACAUGCGCAAUCAUUCGUGACAAUGGACAGUAUGCAGUGGUUGACUCGCAUGCACGCAAUGCUUGUGGCAUGGUUUAUGGAGAGGGAAAGUGUUCUUGUAUAUUUUUCUUCAAUGGAAGGUGUAUUCCAGGACAUUUUCCUUUUAGUCUCAAGGGUUUGGUAAUCAGCUAAAGUCUUUUGCGAUAAGUGGUGUUCGUGUCACAGACUGCCUCCGUUUGAAAAACCAACAGCUCUGUGUACCAAUCCUAUAACAUUUGGAAAUGCUUUGUCCGAAGUCUGUUCAGAACGCGUUGGGAUCAAAUGUACAAAAGCUGAACGAUAAAACAUCUCAAGCCAAUUCAGAUGUUGAAUUUAUCCAUGAAGUUGUACAAAACAACCUGAAGCAUGUCACAAGCUCUAUGCAAAGAUUUAAAAAUGAAAUAUGCAAAAACAAAGUUGAUCCUACAUGUUUUGGUUCCAUUGGGAGUUCCAUGUAAAAAAAAGUAAUUGCUUCUUUAUACAAUACUGGAUAGAAAAAUUGUGUGUCCUGCUACUUUUUUGGAAUGGACAUAAUAGGCCUUACGAUUCCUGCACUGUCAAAAAAGUUGAUGGCCAAAGCCUUUAUAAUGUUU
Gasterosteus aculeatus aculeatus (three-spined stickleback) is the source of this 3970-nucleotide long non-coding RNA. The record is from Ensembl. NCBI's taxonomy places the organism in Eukaryota, Metazoa, Chordata, Actinopteri, Perciformes, Gasterosteidae.